RNAcentral lists this ribosomal RNA (279 nucleotides) under uncultured bacterium. Its description in RNAcentral is "partial 16S ribosomal RNA". It matches the Rfam family "Bacterial small subunit ribosomal RNA", at positions 506 to 784 of the family's 1533-position model. The record is from RNAcentral.
UGCCAGCAGCCGCGGUAAUACGGAGGGUGCAAGCGUUAUUCGGAAUUAUUGGGCGUAAAGAGCGCGUAGGCGGCUUUACAAGUCAGAUGUGAAAUCCCGGGGCUCAACCCCGGAAGUGCAUUUGAUACUGUAUGGCUUGAGUAUGGGAGAGGGAAGUGGAAUUCCUGGUGUAGCGGUGAAAUGCGUAGAUAUCAGGAGGAACACCGGUGGCGAAGGCGGCUUCCUGGACCAAUACUGACGCUGAGGCGCGAAGGCGUGGGGAGCAAACAGGAUUAGAUA